RNAcentral lists this ribosomal RNA (746 nucleotides) under uncultured archaeon. Its description in RNAcentral is "bacterial SSU rRNA". It matches the Rfam family "Archaeal small subunit ribosomal RNA", at positions 70 to 814 of the family's 1478-position model. The record is from RNAcentral.
UCAGACUCGCGGCACCGAGCUCAGUAACACGUGGCCAAACUACCCUACAGAGACGGAUACCCUCGGGAAACUGAGGUUAACCCGUCAUACCGAUCUCAGGCUUGAAUCGCAGAGAUCACAAAAUGCCCCGGCGCUGUAGGAUGUGGCUGCGGUUGAUUAGGUAGACGGUGGGGUAACGGCCCACCGUGCCCAUAAUCAGUACAGGUUGUGAGAGCAAGAACCUGGAGACGGAAUCUGAGACAAGAUUCCGGGCCCUACGGGGCGCAGCAGGCGCGAAACCUUUACACUGCACGCACGUGCGAUAAGGGGACUCCGAGUGCGAGGGCAUAUCGUCCUCGCUUUCGUGUACCGUAGGGUGGUACACCAACAAGGGCUGGGCAAGACCGGUGCCAGCCGCCGCGGUAAUACCGGCAGCCCGAGUGAUGGCCGAUCUUAUUGGGCCUAAAGCGUCCGUAGCUGGCUGCGCAAGUCCGUCGGGAAAUCCACUCGCCCAACGAGUGGGCGUCCGACGGAAACUGCACAGCUUGGGACCGGAAGGCUCGAAGGGUACGUUCGGGGUAGGAGUGAAAUCCCAUAAUCCCGCACGGACCACCGAUGGCGAAAGCACUUCGAGAAAACGGAUCCGACAGUGAGGGACGAAAGCCAGGGUCUCCAACCGGAUUAGAUACCCGGGUAGUCCUGGCCGUAAACAAUGUUCGCUAGGUAUGACACAGACUACGCGUCUCUGUUGUGCCGUAGGGAAGCCG